RNAcentral lists this ribosomal RNA (459 nucleotides) under Rhodobacterales bacterium. RNAcentral describes it as "bacterial SSU rRNA". It matches the Rfam family "Bacterial small subunit ribosomal RNA", at positions 1 to 506 of the family's 1533-position model. Lineage: Bacteria; Pseudomonadati; Pseudomonadota; Alphaproteobacteria; Rhodobacterales. The record is from RNAcentral.
UCAACUUGAGAGUUUGAUCCUGGCUCAGAACGAACGCUGGCGGCAGGCCUAACACAUGCAAGUCGAGCGAGACCUUCGGGUCUAGCGGCGGACGGGUUAGUAACGCGUGGGAACGUGCCCUUCACUACGGAAUAGUCCCGGGAAACUGGGUUUAAUACCGUAUACGCCCUUCGGGGGAAAGAAUUUCGGUGAAGGAUCGGCCCGCGUUGGAUUAGGUAGUUGGUGGGGUAAUGGCCUACCAAGCCUACGAUCCAUAGCUGGUUUGAGAGGAUGAUCAGCAACACUGGGACUGAGACACGGCCCAGACUCCUACGGGAGGCAGCAGUGGGGAAUCUUAGACAAUGGGGGAAACCCUGAUCUAGCCAUGCCGCGUGAGUGAUGAAGGCCUUAGGGUCGUAAAGCUCUUUCGCCAGGGAUGAUAAUGACAGUACCUGGUAAAGAAACCCCGGCUAACUCCGU